CAGCCGCCGCGGGAACACAGAGGGUGCGAGCGUUAAUCGGAUUUACUGGGCGUAAAGUGUGCGUAGGCGGCUUCUUAAGUCGGAUGUGAAAUCCCUGAGCUUAACUUAGGAAUUGCAUUCGAUACUGGGAAGCUAGAGUAUGGGAGAGGAUGGUAGAAUUCCAGGUGUAGCGGUGAAAUGCGUAGAGAUCUGGAGGAAUACCGAUGGCGAAGGCAGCCAUCUGGCCUAAUACUGACGCUGAGGUACGAAAGCAUGGGGAGCAAACAGGAUUAGAUACCCCUGUAGUCCCUGUCUCUUAUAA
Molecule: ribosomal RNA, 301 nt
Filed under: uncultured bacterium
Lineage: Bacteria
Description: partial 16S ribosomal RNA
Rfam family: Bacterial small subunit ribosomal RNA
Source: RNAcentral